RNAcentral lists this ribosomal RNA (269 nucleotides) under uncultured prokaryote. Its description in RNAcentral is "partial 16S ribosomal RNA". It matches the Rfam family "Bacterial small subunit ribosomal RNA", at positions 524 to 792 of the family's 1533-position model. The record is from RNAcentral.
GACGAAGGUGGCUAGCGUUGUUCGGUAUCACUGGGCUUAAAGCGUGUGUAGGCGGAAAAGUAAGCGUUUUGUGAAAUCCCCCGGCUUAACCGGGGAAUUGCUUGACGUACUGCUUUUCUUGAGGCAAGUAGGGGUGCAUGGAACUCUUGGUGGAGCGGUGGAAUGCGUAGAUAUCAAGAGGAACGCCAAUGGAGAAAUCAGUGCACUGGGCUUGUCCUGACGCUGAGACACGAAAGCGUGGGGAGCGAACGGGAUUAGAUACCCGAGUA